CUUUUUCGUUUUUUGUGCUACUGGACUUAUGAAAAGAAAAAUAUUACUCUGAAGCUCAGCAAGGGAGAAGAAGCCGAGUGCUUCCUCUGCUGACCCAGGAGGUGUGUGCACAAAUACUUUGAAAACUUGCGGACCUACAGUCAACAGAUACCAAACCGAGGUACACACUAUUGCUCAUUUUAUGUGUGUGCACUGUAACAUGUACCGCUGUUUAAAGCUUAGAUUAAGAUUUCUGGAUUCCGAAUAAGGUUUUUACCUUACCUUUUACUUAUACUAACACAUGGUAAGUAUAAAUUGCAAUGCAAAGUAUUCUUUUUGGAGAUCUUGC
Molecule: long non-coding RNA, 328 nt
Filed under: Struthio camelus australis
Lineage: Eukaryota; Metazoa; Chordata; Aves; Struthioniformes; Struthionidae
Description: lncRNA (ENSSCUG00000009966.1)
Source: RNAcentral